GACGAACGCUGGCGGCGUGCUUAACACAUGCAAGUCGAACGAAGAGCGACGGAAGCUUGCUUCUAUCAAUCUUAGUGGCGAACGGGUGAGUAACGCGUAAUCAACCUGCCCUUCAGAGGGGGACAACAGUUGGAAACGACUGCUAAUACCGCAUACGAUCUAACCUCGGCAUCGAGGAUAGAUGAAAGGUGGCCUCUACAUGUAAGCUAUCACUGAAGGAGGGGAUUGCGUCUGAUUAGCUAGGUGGAGGGGUAACGGCCCACCAAGGCGAUGAUCAGUAGCCGGUCUGAGAGGAUGAACGGCCACAUUGGGACUGAGACACGGCCCAGACUCCUACGGGAGGCAGCAGUGGGGAAUCUUCCGCAAUGGACGAAAGUCUGACGGAGCAACGCCGCGUGAGUGAUGACGGCCUUCGGGUUGUAAAGCUCUGUUAAUCGGGACGAAAGGCCUUCUUGCGAAUAGUGAGAAGGAUUGACGGUACCGGAAUAGAAAGCCACGGCUAACUACGUG
RNAcentral lists this ribosomal RNA (510 nucleotides) under uncultured bacterium. RNAcentral describes it as "partial 16S ribosomal RNA". It matches the Rfam family "Bacterial small subunit ribosomal RNA", at positions 28 to 507 of the family's 1533-position model. The record is from RNAcentral.